AGGCCUCAGUUUUCUUCUCGUAGUUAUUCCAUCAAUUUAAACAGUUUCAGAUACCCAAUUUGCUCUCUACUCCUAGCUUGUGUUUCAUUUUCCUCAAUUUCUCAAAAUUCCCAUCUGCAUGUUAUCAAUUUCAACACUUUGAACCCCAAUUCUGUUUCACCUCCAAAAACGCUCAAACUUUUCUGUCCAUAGCUUCAUAAUUUCCAUCUGGGUCUGAUCAGUUUGCUCUAAAGACUCAAACUUUCGUGUCUCGUGGCUCA
Molecule: long non-coding RNA, 260 nt
Filed under: Fragaria vesca (wild strawberry)
Lineage: Eukaryota; Viridiplantae; Streptophyta; Magnoliopsida; Rosales; Rosaceae
Description: long non-coding RNA (FVES_LNC000072)
Source: RNAcentral